AGCAGCCGCGGUAAUUCCAGCUCCAAUAGCGUAUAUUAAAGUUGUUGCAGUUAAAAAGCUCGUAGUUGAAUUUCGGGAUCGACGGGUCGGUCGCGCCUCUGGUGUGUACUGGCCCUGUCGGUUUCUCCCUUCUGACGAACCACGAUGUCAUUAAUUUGGUGUCGUGGGAAAUCAGGACUGUUACUUCGAAAAAAUUAGAGUGUUUAAAGCAAGCAUUCGCUUGAAUACAUUAGCAUGGAAUAAUGAAAUAGGACGUUUGAUCUUAUUUUGUUGGUUUCUAAGAUCGACGUAAUGAUUAAUAGGGAUAGUUGGGGGCAUUAGUAUUCAAUUGUCAGAGGUGAAAUUCUUGGAUUUAUUGAAGACUAACUACUGCGAAAGCAUUUGCCAAGGAUGUUUUCAUUAAUCAAGAACGAAAGUUAGGGGAUCGAAGACGAUCAGAUACCGUCGUAGUCUUAACCAUAAACUAUGCCGACUAGGGAUCGGAUGAUGUUAAUUUUUAAUGACUCAUUCGGCGCCUUAC
Molecule: ribosomal RNA, 520 nt
Filed under: uncultured Glomus
Lineage: Eukaryota; Fungi; Glomeromycota; Glomeromycetes; Glomerales; Glomeraceae
Description: SSU rRNA
Rfam family: Eukaryotic small subunit ribosomal RNA
Source: RNAcentral